RNAcentral lists this ribosomal RNA (561 nucleotides) under uncultured bacterium. Its description in RNAcentral is "bacterial SSU rRNA". It matches the Rfam family "Bacterial small subunit ribosomal RNA", at positions 338 to 916 of the family's 1533-position model. The record is from RNAcentral.
CCUACGGGAGGCAGCAGUGGGGAAUAUUGGACAAUGGGCGAAAGCCUGAUCCAGCAAUGCCGCGUGAGUGAUGAAGGCCUUCGGGUCGUAAAGCUCUUUUACCAGGGAUGAUAAUGACAGUACCUGGAGAAUAAGCUCCGGCUAACUCCGUGCCAGCAGCCGCGGUAAUACGGAGGGAGCUAGCGUUGUUCGGAAUUACUGGGCGUAAAGAGUACGUAGGCGGUUAUUCAAGUCAGAGGUGAAAGCCCGGGGCUCAACCCCGGAACUGCCUUUGAAACUAGAUAACUAGAGUCUUGGAGAGGUUAGUGGAAUUCCGAGUGUAGAGGUGAAAUUCGUAGAUAUUCGGAAGAACACCAGUGGCGAAGGCGACUAACUGGACAAGUACUAACGCUGAGGUACGAAAGCGUGGGGAGCAAACAGGAUUAGAUACCCUGGUAGUCCACGCCGUAAACGAUGAUAACUAGUUGUUCGGUCACUUGGUGACUGAGUGACGCAGCUAACGCAUUAAGUUAUCCGCCUGGGGAGUACGGUCGCAAGAUUAAAACUUAAAUGAAUUGACGG